This 502-nucleotide ribosomal RNA is filed under the name uncultured Glomeromycotina. Its description in RNAcentral is "partial small subunit ribosomal RNA". It matches the Rfam family "Eukaryotic small subunit ribosomal RNA", at positions 591 to 1092 of the family's 1831-position model. The record is from RNAcentral. Lineage: Eukaryota; Fungi; Glomeromycota.
CCAAUAGCGUAUAUUAAAGUUGUUGCAGUUAAAAAGCUCGUAGUUGAACUUCGGGGUUCACCCAUUGGUCAGGCUUAAUUGUCUGUACUGGUGAGAUGAGUCUCUACCUUCUGAGGAACUUUCAUGCCAUUUAUUUGGUGUGGUUGGAAAUCAGGACUGUUACUUUGAAAAAAUUAGAGUGUUUAAAGCAGGCUAACGUCUGAAUACAUUAGCAUGGAAUAAUGAAAUAGGACGGAUUGAUUCUAUUUCGUUGUUUUCUAGGGUCACCGUAAUGAUUAAUAGGGAUAGUUGGGGGCAUUAGUAUUCAAUUGUCAGAGGUGAAAUUCUUGGAUUUAUUGAAGACUAACUACUGCGAAAGCAUUUGCCAAGGAUGUUUUCAUUAAUCAAGAACGAAAGUUAGGGGAUCGAAGACGAUCAGAUACCGUCGUAGUCUUAACCAUAAACUAUGCCGACUAGGGAUCGGACGCAGUUAAUUUUAUAAUGACGUGUUCGGCACCUUACG